This 3766-nucleotide long non-coding RNA is filed under the name Phaseolus vulgaris (common bean). RNAcentral describes it as "long non-coding RNA (PVUL_LNC005014)". Lineage: Eukaryota; Viridiplantae; Streptophyta; Magnoliopsida; Fabales; Fabaceae. The record is from RNAcentral.
UCCCAUCAUUGACAUAUAAAAUUCACCAUGCAUAGCUGACACAAAAUCCUCACAAGGGAUAUUAGUUACUCCAAAACUUAUGUUAUCAACAUACACUUGAACUGCUAUGAUAUAAAAUUUACUUUCUUAAUAAAAAGAGUCUUAUAAAUUUUUCCCCUCUCAGAGUUUUGAGUAAGAGAAAGUUGCUAAGCCUUUUAUACCAUUGCCCUAGAGCUUGUUUUAGACGGUAGAGUACCUUCUUUAAGCCUAUAAACAUAUUUUGGAUGUUUAUGGUCUUCAAAUCCUUAUGGUUGUGAGACAUACACUUCCUCGUUGAUAAACCAUUAACGUAAGCACUCUUGACAUCCAUCUGAAACAGUUUUAAGCCACUCAUAUUAGCAAAUGCAGGUAAGUAGUCUAACAACUUCUAAUCUAGCUACAAGUGCAUAUGUUUCAUCAUAGUCAUUAUAUUCUUCUUGGUUAUAACCAUUUUCAACUAGCCUAGCUUAAUUUCUAGUGAUUGUUCCUUAUUCAUCCAUUUUAUUCCUAAAUACCCACUUUGUUCCAAUUAUAUUCAUCUCAACAUUUUUAGGAACAAGAAACCAUAUAUCAUUCCUAGUGAAUUAAUUUAAUUCAUCAUGCAUAACAAAAAUCAAGAUUUCAUCUUUUAAAGCAUAACAACAGUUUUAGGUUAAAUUUAAGACACAAAAGCCAAUUGUUUAGAAAAUUAUUAGAGAAUCUCUAGUAGAGAAUAAUUUUUUCAAUUUGUCUGAUGAUGUUGUUCAGUGAUAGAUCUCUAGGUAUUCUCUAUUCUCUGGGUAGUCUUUCAUCAUAGUGUGUCCUUCAGUUUGAACAUUUGAAUUUAUUGAUACUAAAUUAAUUUGUUGAAAUUUUCUGAGAAUCUCUUGCUUUCAUCACUCAUGUCAUCAUUUCCAUAUAUUGGCAUAUCAUUGUUAGUUUCAUCACAUACCACAAGCAUUGAUUCCUAAACAAUCAUUAAUCUCUUAUUAUAUAUGUGAUAUACAUGACUAUUUAAAGCAUAGCCAAGAAAGAUUCCUUCAUCAACUUUUGUGUUAAACUUUCCUAAAUUCUAUUCUCCAUUAUCCAAAACAAGACAUUUACUACCAAACACUAUUUAGGGAGUGAAACUCUCCCCCAUGAUCACUUCUAAUAUAGCUAAUACAAUAAUUAUUUUCAUUUUCAAGAAUUUUGGCAAGCUUUCUAAAAAUUGAGGAUGAAUCAUUUUUUGAUGCUAUGAACAAUGUUCAAGUGUAUCUAGAAAAAUCAUCAAAAAUCACCAAUGCAUAGUAGUUUUACCCUAAACUCAUGGUUCUAGACGGUCGAAAAAAAUCCAUAUGAAGCAGUUCAAGAAGUUUUUUUCUUGAAACAAAAAUUUUUAUUUUAAAAGAAGUUUUAACUUGUUUUCCUCUUUGACAUGCUUCACAGAUUUUGUUCUUUUUAAACGUGAGAUUGGAAGUUUUGUAACUAAGUCCUUUGAAAUUAGCAUGUUCAAAUGAUGUGUAUGUAUAUGUGCUAAUAUCCUAUGCUAUAACCAUGAAUUAUCACUUUUAGAUAACAAACAUUUACGUGUUUAUAUCUAACACGUAAAUGGUUUUAAUUCUCUUUUGACCAAGCAAGACUUUAUCUGAGGCAGCCUCACAAAUAAGCACAAACAUGGUUAAAAAAAAUCUUUUGCUCUCUGUCACAUAGUUGGCUAAUGCUUAGAGUGAGUUAUGUUUCAAGCCUUCUACAUACAUCACAUUUUUUUAUGAUGAUUGAAGAAUUUUUUCCUACAUCACCUCUGCCUAGUACCCUUCCUUUAUUAUUGUCACGAUAUGUGACAAACCCUUCUUGUUUGAGUGACAAAUUUACAAACUUAAAAGCAUCUCCAAUCAUAUGUUCUUCGGUAAUAUUCUUUUUUAGUGCAAGAAGGAUAGAAAGAAACAAUAAUUUUUAUAUUGGUAAAAUCUUUAUAAAGAGUUACAUCCAGUUGCUUAACUUCACCAUCUAAACUCACACUAAACAAAACAAAAUCAUAUUACAAGAGAUGAUAAAGAAACAACUUCUUUCGCCAAGUGGAAAUGAAGGCUAGGUAGGAAUACUAAGGUAUAUAGAAAGAGGUUAUAAGGUCUAAGAACAGAUUAUGCAAACAAUUAGAUGAGGGGGUAAGAGAAAGUUAGGAAUCAAUUUGGUGGAGAGAUCUGAGGAAUUUGUGUAGUCAAAAUCAACAGGAUAGCUAGUUUAAUAGGGAACUAAGGUGGAAAUCAGGAAGAGGGAAUAAAGUAAAAUUUUGGGAGUAUGUGUGACUUAAAGAGGCUCCUCUGAAGUAUGCCCACCCUAGACUUUAUGGAAUAUUAGGGGACAAGGACAAAAUAGUUGAAGAGCUAGUGAGGUGGGAAGAUCAGUCACUAGAGAGGAAGAUAUCGUGGAGACGACACAAAUUUGCUUGGGAAGCUAUACAAGAAGUUGAAUUGAUGUAGCAACUUAGAUACAUUGGCCUAAAUAGGGAACACGAUGGUGAGUGCGAAUGGGGAAAAGAAGAAAAUCUAAAAUAUUUUGUCAAAUCUACUUAUAAGUGUCUAGAGGCAAACAACUUUGGAGAGGGAGUGAAUAGUGACAACUGGUGCAAACCUCUCAGGGAAUCAAAGGUACUGCCAACAACACAAUACGGUAUUUGGAGAGUGUUAAGAGAUAAAAUUCCCACUAAAACUAACCUUAUAUAUAAAGGGGUAGACUCACCUAAUUCUUUGUGUGAACUAUGUCAGGAGGAACAAGAAACAACAACACAUAUGUUCAUUGGAUGUAAAGUAUCACAUAGCAUUUGGGUUAUGUGUGAUAAUUGGGUAGGAGUACAGUCUCUGCAUCAUGAACAUCUAAUCCAAAACUUCCACCAAUUUCACCUCACGAACAUGUCUGAAAAACAAAAUGGUGUUUAGAAAGAAAUGUGGAUAACAAUUGUAUGGACAAUAUGGAACCAUAGGAAUAAGAUAGUUUUUAAGCAAGAUAGGGUAGAUGCUUUAGAGAUAUUUUAUAUGGAACAACUUAAUAUUUGGACAUGGCUAAAGCAAAGAAUACCUAAAGCACCAUUCUCUUACUUUGAUUUGGUCAAUCCACCCAAAAAUACAAUGUUAUAAUAUACUUUUACAAUGCACAUAUCCUUUGGUUUGUGGUAUAUUCGAUCUUUGUCUGGGUUGAGAUGGUAUAAAAUUGCAGGUGUAGUUAUGAUUAGAGCAACAAUGCAGAUGUUGAUAAAGUCAUGAGUUUUAUAAGGGGUUCCUAGGGGAGCAAAAUAAAAGGAACAAAAUAGAGCUUUGUCUGAUGUGGAUUGGAUACAACAUAGGAGGAUACAAUAAUAAUAAGCUUUUGCAGGAGACGAAAAGACGUUACUUAAUUAGGAAUGGAGAUAACUAUAAUCAAAGGUAAAGUAGACUAAAGGUGAAGGAAACAUGUAUUAGUUGUGGGACAACAUCAUCAUAAUGGAAGUCUAGCACUUAUCUAGCUGUUUUUUUUGUUUUUUCGAGUUGUGAAUGUGUAACUGGUUACUAUUUGGACUAGUUGGCCGCAAAUUGUUUUUUAAGGUUGUAAUGUAGCUAAUAUGUUAUUAUAGGAUUUAUGCUUUCUGAUCAUUACACUACUAUUUUGUUAUUUGUUGGAAUAUAAGUUUGGGUUGUAGGCUAUGUUAGUAUUAUGUUCUUUUUGUAUAAGAAUUAGAACACCCCUUAAGUACGUCACAUUAAUUAAUUUAUUUUUUGUUUAUAAAAAAUUAAAAAAUAAUACAAAUAAAUCA